RNAcentral lists this ribosomal RNA (465 nucleotides) under uncultured Klebsiella sp. RNAcentral describes it as "bacterial SSU rRNA". It matches the Rfam family "Bacterial small subunit ribosomal RNA", at positions 338 to 795 of the family's 1533-position model. Lineage: Bacteria; Pseudomonadati; Pseudomonadota; Gammaproteobacteria; Enterobacterales; Enterobacteriaceae. The record is from RNAcentral.
CCUACGGGAGGCUGCAGUGGGGAAUAUUGCACAAUGGGCGCAAGCCUGAUGCAGCCAUGCCGCGUGUGUGAAGAAGGCCUUCGGGUUGUAAAGCACUUUCAGCGGGGAGGAAGGCGUUAAGGUUAAUAACCUUGUCGAUUGACGUUACCCGCAGAAGAAGCACCGGCUAACUCCGUGCCAGCAGCCGCGGUGAUACGGAGGGUGCAAGGGUUAAUCGGAAUUACUGGGCGUAAAGCGCACGCAGGCGGUCUGUCAAGUCGGAUGUGAAAUCCCCGGGCUCAACCUGGGAACUGCAUUCGAAACUGGGAGGCUAGAGUCUUGGAGAGGGGGGUAGAAUUCCAGGUGUAGCGGUGAAAUGCGUAGAGAUCUGGAGGAAUACCGGUGGCGAAGGCGGCCCCCUGGACAAAGACUGACGCUCAGGUGCGAAAGCGUGGGGAGCAAACAGGAUUAGAUACCCUAGUAGUC